UUUUUGGGUAUCUGGAAUUUGAUUAUAAAGAGUAUGAAAAAUGUUUAAAUGGUUUUUAGACUUGCAAUUUUAGUACUUCUCUUCAAUCCAGUAGCUAGAUUUUGGUCCUGGGCCAGCUUGCGUGCAUCUCGACUGAUUCAGCGAGUACAUGCUACUUUCCACCAGCACAGGUAUCGGGUAACUCUGUCCACCAAGGCUUGGAUCGAUAUAAAAAAAUCGCCUUGGUCUUGGUUUUGCUUAGUUUAUCUAUUAGGA
Molecule: long non-coding RNA, 255 nt
Filed under: Nicotiana benthamiana
Lineage: Eukaryota; Viridiplantae; Streptophyta; Magnoliopsida; Solanales; Solanaceae
Description: long non-coding RNA (NBEN_LNC028002)
Source: RNAcentral